This 292-nucleotide ribosomal RNA is filed under the name uncultured bacterium. RNAcentral describes it as "partial 16S ribosomal RNA". It matches the Rfam family "Bacterial small subunit ribosomal RNA", at positions 505 to 796 of the family's 1533-position model. The record is from RNAcentral.
GUGUCAGCAGCCGCGGUAACACGUAGGGUGCGAGCGUUGUCCGGAAUUAUUGGGCGUAAAGAGCUCGUAGGCGGUCCGUCACGUCGGAUGUGAAAUUCCAGGGCUCAACCCUGGACCUGCAUUCGAUACGGGCGGACUAGAGUUCGGUAGGGGAGACUGGAAUUCCUGGUGUAGCGGUGAAAUGCGCAGAUAUCAGGAGGAACACCGGUGGCGAAGGCGGGUCUCUGGGCCGAUACUGACGCUGAGGAGCGAAAGCGUGGGGAGCGAACAGGAUUAGAUACCCUAGUAGUCC